GAACGCAAAUCUUUUUGAAGAUCUCACAUCGAGCAUCGUAAACAAAAGUUUUUCUUUUCACCAGAAUGAAAACAAGCAUCGGAGUUUGAGUUCCUUUUUAGAUUCAUCUUCCCACUCGCAAUAUGAAAGAAACGUCAGAGAAUAUUCUUCAACGCAUGACUGAUCAAAAAAUAACUUGGAAAUAAUCGGUAUCAUUAGCAAUUUGUAGAUUGUUGCGAGGAAGUCGAGGGCAGGAAAAGGUUUUGCGCCAGGUUGGAUUGUCCUGGCGGUUUAUUUGACAAUA
Long non-coding RNA from Atta colombica, 283 nucleotides. RefSeq lists it as uncharacterized. Lineage: Eukaryota; Metazoa; Arthropoda; Insecta; Hymenoptera; Formicidae. The record is from RefSeq and is a predicted model, not a curated record. The transcript has 3 exons.